UACGAAGGGGGCUAGCGUUGCUCGGAAUCACUGGGCGUAAAGGGUGCGUAGGCGGGUCUUUAAGUCAGGGGUGAAAUCCUGGAGCUCAACUCCAGAACUGCCUUUGAUACUGAAGAUCUUGAGUUCGGGAGAGGUGAGUGGAACUGCGAGUGUAGAGGUGAAAUUCGUAGAUAUUCGCAAGAACACCAGUGGCGAAGGCGGACUCACUGGCC
RNAcentral lists this ribosomal RNA (212 nucleotides) under uncultured bacterium. Its description in RNAcentral is "partial 16S ribosomal RNA". It matches the Rfam family "Bacterial small subunit ribosomal RNA", at positions 524 to 734 of the family's 1533-position model. The record is from RNAcentral.